GUGGGCAAGCUGCCAGUCAGAACCCCACCCAGGAGGGAACGCUCUGCCUGGGACUGUUUUUCCAAUCAGGACUCUAAUCCGCUGCAAAGUGGAGCCCCAGCCACGUGAGAGAUCAGAUGUUGCGUUUCCCCCUGAUUUGGAGGGGCGGCUGGAGGCUGGGCGCACCGGGAGGUCGUCCUCGCACGGCCUUUGGAGACCGCGGGUAUUUUCCUUCUGAGGCACCAGAUUGAAGCCGGGACUUCGUAUGUGGGAAGCCAG
Molecule: long non-coding RNA, 258 nt
Filed under: Dasypus novemcinctus (nine-banded armadillo)
Lineage: Eukaryota; Metazoa; Chordata; Mammalia; Cingulata; Dasypodidae
Description: lncRNA (ENSDNOG00000050115.1)
Source: RNAcentral